UGGGGAAUAUUGGACAAUGGGCGAAAGCCUGAUCCAGCCAUGCCGCGUGUGUGAAGAAGGUCUUCGGAUUGUAAAGCACUUUAAGUUGGGAGGAAGGGUUGUAGAUUAAUACUCUGCAAUUUUGACGUUACCGACAGAAUAAGCACCGGCUAACUCUGUGCCAGCAGCCGCGGUAAUACAGAGGGUGCAAGCGUUAAUCGGAAUUACUGGGCGUAAAGCGCGCGUAGGUGGUUAGUUAAGUUGGAUGUGAAAUCCCCGGGCUCAACCUGGGAACUGCAUUCAAAACUGACUGACUAGAGUAUGGUAGAGGGUGGUGGAAUUUCCUGUGUAGCGGUGAAAUGCGUAGAUAUAGGAAGGAACACCAGUGGCGAAGGCGACCACCUGGACUGAUACUGACACUGAGGUGCGAAAGCGUGGGGAGCAAACA
Molecule: ribosomal RNA, 427 nt
Filed under: Microvirga ossetica
Lineage: Bacteria; Pseudomonadati; Pseudomonadota; Alphaproteobacteria; Hyphomicrobiales; Methylobacteriaceae
Also listed under: 2 other names
Description: partial 16S ribosomal RNA
Rfam family: Bacterial small subunit ribosomal RNA
Source: RNAcentral